Molecule: long non-coding RNA, 256 nt
Organism: Ochotona princeps (American pika)
Lineage: Eukaryota; Metazoa; Chordata; Mammalia; Lagomorpha; Ochotonidae
Exons: 3
Source: RefSeq, a predicted model, not a curated record
AAAAACAAAAAAAGAAAAAUGACACAGGAAAUGAAUUCAAUGUGGGUUCACUCAUGAAACCAGUGGAAAAUAGUCCAUCCUCAUCCUCUCCCACAAUGUCCACGGCUGAAAAUAUCAAGGCCACGAGGAUGGCAAAGCAGCAGACCAAGGCAAAGAUCACGAUGCACUUCUGCUGGGACUGGAGGGAGAGAAAAGAGGAGCACACUAAGAUGGAGAUAGAAGAAAAAGCAUGUAAAAAACAUAUGUGCGGGGCUUG